CUUUCACUCUUCUCAUUCUUUGAAUAAGAAUUGCACCCAUUUUGCCUCUUCCAGAGCCUCAGAGAGAGACCGGGAAAGAUGACUCGGGGAAAGCAGAAGAUUGAAGCGCAAAAACGAAAUGCGGAGAAGAAUCAGAAGCAAAAAGGGUCUCAAUUUGAGGCCAGAGCCGUUGCUCUCAAAAUCACUUGUCCUAUUUGCAAGGUGCAACUUGCAAAUCCAAAGCAGCUUGGCGAUCACUAUGCUUCCAAACAUCCCAGAGAAAAGCCUCCAGCUGAAUCAGAAUGACCCCUAUCUCAUGUGGAAUACAGUAUGACAAUAAAAAACGAAGUAAAAAAAAUCCUUUGCUGUGUUUUAUGACGCGUAUCAGAAAGUUUGUUAUACAUUGACUUGUGUUAAAUCUCUCCAGCUCCCUUCGCGAACGUUGUAUGACUAUGAAGGAUGAUUGUUAAUGUUGUCAUAUCUAGAGUUAUGUGAGCUGUGAAAUAAAUUUUUUGUCCAUUUUAUACCAUAUGCCUUUAACCACCGCUAGCUUGAAGUUUCUACUGGGAGACAGAAUGAUACUAAUAGAAACCAGAAAUUUUGUGCUGUAGCCCCAGCCCACAAUGAGAAAGAAUCAGAUAUGCUGAGAUUACUUGCACAAUACUAUGGCCGGAUGAGAUCUUUGAAACCAUUGAGAACCAGCUACUCACUGGUCUAGCUGAUAAUCAUCUUCCACAAGAGGAGAAGAGGCGUUUCGAAAUUUAUGUUAUUGUGAAAGCUGACCAGGUUCUACUGAUAGGAUUUCAGAUUUGCAUAAACAGUCUGAUCGGCCUUGCUACUCUUGUUUGUUUUGCGUUAUAAACUCAAAUAUGUCACAAUCCUUUAUAUAUAGAUCAUUGAUUAACAAAAGUCCAGCAUGAGCAAGUGCUAGAAGAGGAGAUCAAAAGUAUCAAAGCGACAGAAAAGCACCAGAAUUAGAUAGUUACAUCGUUUGAUUCUGUAUAAAGCUUGGAAUAUUGUGGUUAAGGAUUUCCACAGCUAUCAAAUCCUUCAAUACUAAACGCAUAAGCGAAGUUAAUGACACCAAUUGGCUCAUGGUCUAUUGGUAUUUCUUUU
Molecule: non-coding RNA, 1095 nt
Organism: Prunus mume (Japanese apricot)
Lineage: Eukaryota; Viridiplantae; Streptophyta; Magnoliopsida; Rosales; Rosaceae
Source: RefSeq, a predicted model, not a curated record